This 483-nucleotide ribosomal RNA is filed under the name uncultured bacterium. RNAcentral describes it as "bacterial SSU rRNA". It matches the Rfam family "Bacterial small subunit ribosomal RNA", at positions 328 to 803 of the family's 1533-position model. The record is from RNAcentral.
GAAUUCAACUCCUACGGGAGGCAGCAGUGGGGAAUUUUGGGCAAUGGGCGCAAGCCUGAUCCAGCCAUGCCGCGUGGGUGAAGAAGGCCUUCGGGUUGUAAAGCCCUUCUGUCCGGGAAGAAAUCGUCUGGGCUAAUACCCCGGGCGGAUGACGGUACCGGAAGAAUAAGCACCGGCUAACUUCGUGCCAGCAGCCGCGGUAAUACGAAGGGUGCAAGCGUUACUCGGAAUUACUGGGCGUAAAGCGUGCGUAGGCGGUUCGUUAAGUCCGAUGUGAAAGCCCUGGGCUCAACCCGGGAACUGCAUUGGAAACUGGCGGGCUGGAGUGCGGUAGAGGGUGGCGGAAUUCCCGGUGCAGCAGUGAAAUGCGUAGAUAUCGGGGGGAACACCCGUGGCGAAAGCGGCCACCUGGACCAGCACUGACGCUGAGGCACGAAAGCGUGGGGAGCAAACAGGAUUAGAAACCCUAGUAGUCCAGGCGUU